AGCGAACGCUGGCGGCAUGCCUAACACAUGCAAGUCGCACGGGGGGGCUUCGGCCUCCCAGUGGCGGACGGGUGAGGAACGCGUAGGGACCUGUCGAGGGGUGGGGGAUAACCGCGGGAAACUGCGGCUAAUACCGCAUGACGCCGCGGCGUGACAGCCGGGGCCAAAGGCGAAAGCCGCCCGCCGAGGGGCCUGCGUCCGAUUAGCUGGUUGGCGGGGUAGCGGCCCACCAAGGCGUCGAUCGGUAGCUGGUCUGAGAGGGUGAUCAGCCACACCGGGACUGAGACACGGCCCGGACUCCUACGGGAGGCAGCAGUGGGGAAUAUUGGACAAUGGGCGCAAGCCUGAUCCAGCAAUGCCGCGUGGGUGAAGAAGGUCUUCGGAUUGUAAAGCUCUUUCGGCGGGGACGAUGGUGACGGUACCCGCAGAAGAAGCCCCGGCUAACUUCGUG
RNAcentral lists this ribosomal RNA (451 nucleotides) under uncultured bacterium. RNAcentral's name for it is "partial 16S ribosomal RNA". It matches the Rfam family "Bacterial small subunit ribosomal RNA", at positions 28 to 507 of the family's 1533-position model. The record is from RNAcentral.